AUUGAACGCUGGCGGCAUGCCUUACACAUGCAAGUCGAACGGCAGCAUGGAGAGCUUGCUCUCUGAUGGCGAGUGGCGAACGGGUGAGUAAUGCAUCGGAACGUACCGUGUAAUGGGGGAUAACGUAGCGAAAGUUACGCUAAUACCGCAUACGACCUGAGGGUGAAAGCAGGGGAUCGCAAGACCUUGCGUUAUACGAGCGGCCGAUGUCAGAUUAGCUAGUUGGUGAGGUAAAGGCUCACCAAGGCGACGAUCUGUAGCGGGUCUGAGAGGAUGGUCGGCCACACUGGGGCUGAGACACGGCCCAGACUCCUACGGGAGGCAGCAGUGGGGAAUUUUGGACAAUGGGGGCAACCCUGAUCCAGCCAUGCCGCGUGAGUGAAGAAGGCCUUCGGGUUGUAAAGCUCUUUCGGCCGGGAAGAAAUCGCACAGGCUAAUACUCUGUGUGGAUGACGGUACCGGCAUAAGAAGCACCGGCUAACUACGUGCCAGCCGCCGCCGUAA
RNAcentral lists this ribosomal RNA (504 nucleotides) under uncultured bacterium. Its description in RNAcentral is "partial 16S ribosomal RNA". It matches the Rfam family "Bacterial small subunit ribosomal RNA", at positions 30 to 523 of the family's 1533-position model. The record is from RNAcentral.